UGGGGGGACCAUCCUCCAAGGCUAAAUACUCCUGACUGACCGAUAGUGAACCAGUACCGUGAGGGAAAGGCGAAAAGAACCCCGGCGAGGGGAGUGAAAAAGAACCUGAAACCGUGUACGUACAAGCAGUGGGAGCACGCUUAGGCGUGUGACUGCGUACCUUUUGUAUAAUGGGUCAGCGACUUAUAUUCUGUAGCAAGGUUAACCGAAUAGGGGAGCCGAAGGGAAACCGAGUCUUAACUGGGCGUUAAGUUGCAGGGUAUAGACCCGAAACCCGGUGAUCUAGCCAUGGGCAGGUUGAAGGUUGGGUAACACUAACUGGAGGACCGAACCGACUAAUGUUGAAAAAUUAGCGGAUGACUUGUGGCUGGGGGUGAAAGGCCAAUCAAACCGGGAGAUAGCUGGUUCUCCCCGAAAGCUAUUUAGGUAGCGCCUCGUGAAUUCAUCUCCGGGGGUAGAGCACUGUUUCGGCAAGGGGGUCAUCCCGACUUACCAACCCGAUGCAAACUGCGAAUACCGGAGAAUGUUAUCA
Molecule: ribosomal RNA, 532 nt
Filed under: Escherichia coli
Lineage: Bacteria; Pseudomonadati; Pseudomonadota; Gammaproteobacteria; Enterobacterales; Enterobacteriaceae
Description: partial 23S ribosomal RNA
Rfam family: Bacterial large subunit ribosomal RNA
Source: RNAcentral